CAAGUACCCGUGAGGGAAAGUUGAAAAGAACUUUGAAGAGAGAGUUCAAUAGUACGUGAAACCGUUUAGAGGUAAACGGAUGGGACCGCAAGGCUCCCCGGCGGAAUUCAACCUUCCGAUAGGCGGUCGGCUGCGCGUGACGAUCCUCAGGGACGGACGYGUGGUCGGGUCGUCGUCGGUGGGCGCACUUUCCACGGGACGCUCGCCAGGACCGGUUCGUGUGGUGGCCGGAAGCCGCUGGGGGCAAGGUAGCCGUCUUCUUCGGGAGACGGUGCUUAGGCCCUCGCGGUGGGCUGCACCCACUUACCGAGGAACACCCGCCGUGGUACGGGCCCCCCGCCCUCUCGGCCGAGACGACUUGCGUGGACUGUUCGCAGUGCUCGCAGACGGCCGGCCGUGCAGAGGAGGGGACCUCCCGUGCUGACACCCAGGGUCUCUGGCUAAUCGGUCGGCACCCCAUCCGACCCGUCUUGAAACACGGACCAAGGAGUCUAACAUGUGCGCGAGUCGUCGGGUGGCAAACCCUCGGGCGCAAUGAAAGUGAAGUUCGGCCUCGCGGUCGGAUCGGGUAGGAUCUCGGCGCGUCUCGAUGCGCCGGGCGCACUACCGGCCCGUCUCGGUCUCUCGUAGACGAGGCGGAGCAAGAGCGUACACGUUGGGACCCGAAAGA
RNAcentral lists this ribosomal RNA (670 nucleotides) under Amphisamytha jacksoni. Its description in RNAcentral is "eukaryotic LSU rRNA". It matches the Rfam family "Eukaryotic large subunit ribosomal RNA", at positions 345 to 823 of the family's 3401-position model. Lineage: Eukaryota; Metazoa; Annelida; Polychaeta; Terebellida; Ampharetidae. The record is from RNAcentral.